RNAcentral lists this transfer RNA (75 nucleotides) under Candidatus Moraniibacteriota bacterium. Its description in RNAcentral is "tRNA-Arg". It matches the Rfam family "tRNA". Rfam says of the family: Transfer RNA (tRNA) molecules are approximately 80 nucleotides in length. Lineage: Bacteria; Candidatus Moraniibacteriota. The record is from RNAcentral.
GCCCCCAUAGCUCAACGGAUAGAGCAACAGCCUUCUAAGCUGAAGAUCUAGGUUCGAUUCCUGGUGGGGGUACAA